Molecule: ribosomal RNA, 254 nt
Filed under: uncultured bacterium
Lineage: Bacteria
Description: partial 16S ribosomal RNA
Rfam family: Bacterial small subunit ribosomal RNA
Source: RNAcentral
CACGUAGGGGGCAAGCGUUGUCCGGAUUUAUUGGGCGUAAAGAGCUCGUAGGCGGUUUCGUAAGUCGGAUGUGAAAACUCCAGGCUCAACUUGGAGACGCCAUUCGAUACUGCGAUGACUUGAGUCCGGUAGGGGAGUGUGGAAUUCCUGGUGUAGCGGUGAAAUGCGCAGAUAUCAGGAAGAACACCCGUGGCUAAGGCGGCUCGCUAGUACGGUACUGACGCUGAGACGCGAAAGCGUGGGGAGCGAACAGG